RNAcentral lists this ribosomal RNA (301 nucleotides) under uncultured bacterium. RNAcentral describes it as "partial 16S ribosomal RNA". It matches the Rfam family "Bacterial small subunit ribosomal RNA", at positions 509 to 807 of the family's 1533-position model. The record is from RNAcentral.
CAGUAGCCGCGGUAAUACGAAGGGGGCUAGCGUUGAUCGGAUUAACUGGGCGUAAAGGGCGCGUAGGCGGGUUUUUAAGUCAGAGGUGAAAUCCCAAGGCUCAACCUUGGAACUGCCUUUGAUACUGAAAGUCUUGAGUCCGGGAGAGGUGAGUGGAACUGCGAGUGUAGAGGAGAAAUUCGUAGAUAUUGGGAAGAACACCGGUGGCGAAGGCGGCUCACUGGCUCGUUUCUGACGCUCAUGCACGACAGCGUGGGGAUCAAACAGGAUUAGAUACCCCCGUAGUCCCUGUCUCUUAUAC